Long non-coding RNA from Diceros bicornis minor, 200 nucleotides. RefSeq lists it as uncharacterized. The record is from RefSeq and is a predicted model, not a curated record. NCBI's taxonomy places the organism in Eukaryota, Metazoa, Chordata, Mammalia, Perissodactyla, Rhinocerotidae. The transcript has 3 exons.
UGAGGUGAAAACAGGCUCAGGGUCCACCUGUCCUCGCUGAUCGGUGGAUUUCUGUGUGACCAGGUUACACCUAUGGAGCAGUGGCCCCGACUACCAACAGCUUGCUCAUCCCUCUGCUCACACAGUCACCCGUCCCCUCACUCUCAUUUAUGCUUCACCUGUGAAUGGUGGUCCUGAUACAGCCAGUGCUGGAGCCCGUG